UACGUAGGGGGCAAGCGUUGUCCGGAAUCAUUGGGCGUAAAGAGCGUGUAGGCGGCUUGGCAAGUCUCGCGUGAAAUCCUGCGGCUCAACCGCAGGCGGUCGCGGGAAACUGCCUCGCUAGAGUCCGGAAGAGGAGAGUGGAAUUCCUGGUGUAGCGGUGGAAUGCGCAGAUAUCAGGAAGAACACCAAUGGCGAAGGCAGCUCUCUGGGACGGUACUGACGCUGAGACGCGAAAGCGUGGGGAGCGAACAGG
RNAcentral lists this ribosomal RNA (253 nucleotides) under uncultured bacterium. RNAcentral's name for it is "partial 16S ribosomal RNA". It matches the Rfam family "Bacterial small subunit ribosomal RNA", at positions 524 to 776 of the family's 1533-position model. The record is from RNAcentral.